Molecule: ribosomal RNA, 380 nt
Filed under: uncultured eukaryote
Lineage: Eukaryota
Description: partial 18S ribosomal RNA
Rfam family: Eukaryotic small subunit ribosomal RNA
Source: RNAcentral
CAAUAGCGUAUAUUAAAGUUGUUGCGGUUAAAAAGCUCGUAGUUGGAUUUCUGCUGAGGAUGACCGGUCCGCCCUGUGGGUGUGCAUCUGGCUCAGCCUUGGCAUCUUCCUGAAGAACGUAGCUGCACUUGACUGUGUGGUGCGGUAUUUAGGACAUUUACUUUGAGGAAAUUAGAGUGUUUCAAGCAAGCGCACGCUUUGAAUACAUUAGCAUGGAAUAAUAAGAUAGGACCUUGGUUCUAUUUUGUUGGUUUCUAGAGCUGAGGUAAUGAUUGAUAGGGAUAGUUGGGGGCAUUCGUAUUUAACUGUCAGAGGUGAAGUUCUUGGAUUUGUUAAAGACGGACUACUGCGAAAGCAUUUGCCAAGGAUGUUUUCAUUGA